UACACAGAUGUGCUUCAUGUUUAACUGC
This 28-nucleotide non-coding RNA is filed under the name Homo sapiens (human). The record is from RNAcentral. Lineage: Eukaryota; Metazoa; Chordata; Mammalia; Primates; Hominidae.